UAAGAGAGCUUUGUGAUAGCUGCGUUGCAGAGGAAAGUCCGGACUCCACAGGAAGAAAAUGCUGGAUAACACCCAGCAGGGGAAACCCUAGGGAUAGUGCAACAGAAAAUAUACCGCCAUUUAGGUAAGGUUGAAAAGGUGAUGGUAAGAGCUCACCGCAAUUGUAGUAAUACAAUUGGCAUUGUAAACCCCAUUUGGAGCAAGGCCAAAUAGAAGAAACUAUGUUUUUCCUGAACGUUUCUGGGUAGGCCGCUAAAAAAAGUUUGUAAAAACUUUUUAAGAUGAAUUAUCACAUUAAACAGAAUCCGGCUUAUAAGCUCUCUUUAAAA
Molecule: RNase P RNA, 329 nt
Filed under: Alphaproteobacteria bacterium
Lineage: Bacteria; Pseudomonadati; Pseudomonadota; Alphaproteobacteria
Also listed under: 1 other name
Description: RNase P RNA component class A
Rfam family: Bacterial RNase P class A
About the family: Ribonuclease P (RNase P) is a ubiquitous endoribonuclease, found in archaea, bacteria and eukarya as well as chloroplasts and mitochondria. Its best characterised activity is the generation of mature 5'-ends of tRNAs by cleaving the 5'-leader elements of precursor-tRNAs.
Source: RNAcentral